AGUCGUGUUGAGCGCCCCUAGCAGAAAAAAUACAAACUAAAGUAUUCGACCAAAUUACAGUAGCUCCACUUGCGCGCUUAUGCUGGAACGCGCCGCGGUUGAUUUUUCGCCCUCUGUGGCCAUUUGGUGAACUCGAGAGUUUCCGGGGCCUGGUACACUCUAAUUGUGAGCAGUCUUUUGCAACGGUAUUCAGUGUGCCAUUAGUUUCGUAGUCGCAAUUUUGUUAAUCGUAUUAUUUAUUUUUUAGCUACAAAUUAAGUUUUCCUUCAAAAUUUAUUAUGUCUUCUAUGAACAAAAAUUAUCAAUCAUUAUUUAUGGAUUUUAGUGGUUAUUUUUAGUAGGAACGAUUUUAUUAACUUAAUACGAUACUGAGGCUGCGACUGGUUUUCGACUCUGUCACUCGUUUGAACUUGUGCGGUGGUUCGUCCCGCGCGAGCUUUGUUGGAAGCAUUUUUCUUUUUUUUUUUGGACAUCAUGACGCAAAUUUUAGUGAAAUUGCUCUAUGAUGAUAAGUGGGAUGUUUAUCCGUUGAAGACGUUUGCUGACGCAGCUACUGGUCUUCGGGUGAUGUUCGAGCCUGGCAGUUUUGAUGAGUUGCGUGGCAGAAUUCAUGAUGGAAGGAAGGCGAACAAAGCCGCAGCCUAACUUCUGCACACAGGCAAACCGCAUGCCCUGGAGCGAAAGCUUGCUGCCGCCGCUGCUUCGAUUGAAAUGUUACACAUGCACCAAAAGUCCAGGUGCUAACGUGUCGUUCGUCAAGAACAGCUUGGCGUCGUUUCUCGCAAGAGACAUCCAUUGAUCUGCGGUUGAUUCACCAGGAAGCUCGCAUCUCUGUUGCCACUCUGCGUCAAGUGGGAUUUUUAACUAUUUUUUAUUCUGCCCUGUGGUGUACGCUGUGACGCUGUGAAUACUUACUUUCAUGGACGCUGUGAAGGCUUACUUUCGAUGUGUUCUGCCUUUUAGUUGUAAAGAAUUGGCUACCUUGUGAGUGGAGGUAGUUCCUUUUUCUUGUGAGAAUGUUUAUCAGCCUAACCAAGUGGUACAUGCGUACUUGAAACAGCAGCACAGACGAGGAUAAUGAAAUAAGUAGGAACAUAUACAAGCGCCGACUCAACUAGAAGUUUAUUCUUGAAGACAGGUUGUAAACACAUUGGAACUUGACAAAGAUAAGAAACCAUGUAUGCGUGGCCUUCGUGCUUAAACAAAAUUGUGUUCUCUGCUGUAAGGGGUAGAAUGAACAAUUGUUUCAUCACAAAGACCCCAGAACACAAGAGAAAUUAUGGAAGCCUUAUUUAUUGAUUGCAAAGAAGACAAAUGCAUAAGCUAUCUGUUGCUCUUAAUGGGAAAGAGUUGGGAUUUUUAAAAGAGCUCUCCUUGUUUGGUGGUAUAACUUAUAGGAGAUCUUUCACUGUUUUUUUUACCUGCAUAUUUAUACUACAAAACACGUCUUUCGUUCGUUUUUUUUUGUUGCACCGGGCUGUCUGCCACGCAUGCAUGGCUAUUUCUUUGUCAAGUUGGCCAGUGUGCUUAAUAUCUUUGUUGUCACGAACAAACUUCUAGUAGAGUCAGCAUUAUUGUGUGUUCCUACCUUAUUUCACCGUUCUCAUCUUUGUUUGAGCUGUUUGUAAAGUAUGUACACACACCAAAUUACCAAAGUAUCCGUAAAAUUGAGAUACAUGAAGUUAUUUGCACUAUUCAUUUCUGCAAGAAUGGUAUAGCUUCUCAUCUCGUUUGUUCUUAACGUUGUUGUACAGUUUUUGUAAUAUAUAGCCUGGAAAGACGUUUUCUGUCAGAUUAAAUAUGCAUGUAUGUCACUUUCGAUAUUUUUUUUUCAACAUGGGUAGUGCAGCUCCUUCCGUCUUUCAGUUACUGCUUUGUCGCAACUUUUAUAUAUUUAUGCAGCGAAAUGCUGGUUGAAUUAUAUAUAUUUAUGUGCGCAAGUGUGGUGAAUGGUGUUUUGUAUGUGCAUUUAUUUGCGUUCUUUACUAGCUCUCCAAUCUGGCUGUACAGUUAUUGAAACCUUUUCUCAUGCUUUAUAAUGAGUCGUUCUGGGCUCUUUGAUGAUGCAGGUGACCUUUUAUUUCACUGUUGGGAAUUGCGUUAGCUGUGUGUCACUCCAGUUGUCUGUGUAUUUUAUGUCACUUUAUUAUAUCAUUGAAAGUAUUAGCCUUGCGUUAGCUUUUUAUUGACCGAGGUACCAGUUAGUUGCUGUGUAGAGUGAAAAAGGCCCAAAGAAAUGAUUUCAUUAGCUUUGUUCAAGUCCAGAAACAAAUUCACUGAUGAGCUCACUAAAUUAGAAAAUGCCACCAGUAAACUCUUCCGUACCCAAAAGUAACACAAGAAAUUAAAUACUGUUCACACUCGAGAGGGAAACAGCGCGAAAAAACACAAGGGAGACACACACCAGCGCUUCUUGUCCCUUCUUGUCUUGUGUACUUUUGCGCUGUUUCCCUCUCGAGUAUGCACCGACUAGCCCAAGCCUCUACUGUCUUGAAAUACUGUGCAGUUCUUGACUUAUGCCAGGGAGGUAAGCUGCUUUUACAGCACAAAUGUUUUAGAAGUUUACCUCUGAAAAGCACGAUUCAGGUGUUUUGUAUAUAUAUACAUGCAGUCAUUUGUUUCCAGUCUACUUGUUAUUUUGCCUACUCACAGCCAGCCGUAAACCCUUCUGUGAGUGUUUACUGGGUGUGUGAAGCAUUUUACUGUAAGGUAUCCAGUGGUCUUCAUUUUUGUAUUUAUGCAUGCAAGCCAAGAGUUCAUGUGUUCAAAGUUAGUUACAAGGGUAUGCUUAAGGUCUGCCUUUGAGUCACUUGACUGUUGUUUUUACAAAAUAUAUUUUUUUCUGCUGUAAUUAUGAAAUAUAAUUCUUUCUGCUGUAAUAAACUUCAAGUUGAGUGAGCAUUCGUGCGUAUUCUUAUCUUAAUUCAGCGUUCGCAUCUCUGUUUGAGCUGCUGUUUGUCAAGUCUGUACAUACACCAAAUUGCCAAAGUGCUCGUAAAAUUGUGACACAUAAGACUAUUUGCAUUGUUUAUUCCUGCAAGAAGGCUAUAGGUUUCCAUCUUCCGUUUGUUUUUAACAUUGCUGUACAUCUUUGUAGGUCAAGUUCAAAGAGUCCCUUAGGUAGCCAAUAAGAUUGAUAACGUUGUAAAAUUUAUCAA
Molecule: long non-coding RNA, 3158 nt
Organism: Dermacentor silvarum
Lineage: Eukaryota; Metazoa; Arthropoda; Arachnida; Ixodida; Ixodidae
Exons: 3
Source: RefSeq, a predicted model, not a curated record